CCCCAAGGUUGCGACUAGAGGGUUGGCCAACCUAUCCUUUGAUCGUGCACUGCACGUUAAAUGGACUGAGAGCACUGCUUCAGCCACACGGUUCUGCCGUGUUAUCAAAAUCUGAACAGAACUACCUUCUGUUAAAAUCUUACAACUAGUAGCACUGGAUCCCUUGGCACGUCAUUCGAUGAAGAACGUAGCAAUCUGCGAUAAGUGGUGUGAUAUGCAAGUCCACAGCUUAUACGUGAACCAUCGAAUCUUUGAACGCACUGCACUAUCCGGACGACACCCCCGUGAUAGUAUGCCCCAUUGAGCGUUAUUUGCUUAUUCAGACAUCAGUGUGUUCACUCACUCUGAUGGAUGAGUUCGAGGUUCACAUCUGAUAGAUGCGUUCCUUAAGAUUCAUUAGCAACUGAGGUCAACCCGGUCCACAUCCUGUGAUGAUUUUGCAGGUCAAGGUUGAGGUUUGAUUGGUGCUCAUAAAUGCCUUUGGCAAACUGGCCUUGGUGCCCACACUUCGUAUAUAACCUCAGUGGGGUAGGAUUACCCGCUAGACUUAAGCAUAUUAAUCAGCGGAGGAAAAGAAACUAACAAGGAUUCCCCCAGUAACUGCGAGUGAAGAGGGAAUAGC
Molecule: ribosomal RNA, 622 nt
Filed under: uncultured Tulasnellaceae
Lineage: Eukaryota; Fungi; Basidiomycota; Agaricomycetes; Cantharellales; Tulasnellaceae
Description: eukaryotic LSU rRNA
Rfam family: Eukaryotic large subunit ribosomal RNA (bases 515-622)
Source: RNAcentral